GACGAACGCUGGCGGCGUGCCUAAUACAUGCAAGUAGAACGCACAGUUUAUACCGUAGCUUGCUACACCAUAGACUGUGAGUUGCGAACGGGUGAGUAACGCGUAGGUAACCUGCCUGGUAGCGGGGGAUAACUAUUGGAAACGAUAGCUAAUACCGCAUAAUAUUAAUUAUUGCAUGAUAAUUAAUUGAAAGGUGCAAUUGCACCACUACCAGAUGGACCUGCGUUGUAUUAGCUAGUAGGUGAGGUAACGGCUCACCUGGGCGACGAUACAUAGCCGACCUGAGAGGGUGAUCGGCCACACUGGGACUGAGACACGGCCCAGACUCCUACGGGAGGCAGCAGUAGGGAAUCUUCGGCAAUGGACGAAAGUCUGACCGAGCAACGCCGCGUGAGUGAAGAAGGUUUUCGGAUCGUAAAGCUCUGUUGUAAGAGAAGAACGGGUGUGAGAGUGGAAAGUUCACACUGUGACGGUAUCUUACCAGAAAGGGACGGCUAACUACGUG
RNAcentral lists this ribosomal RNA (505 nucleotides) under uncultured bacterium. RNAcentral's name for it is "partial 16S ribosomal RNA". It matches the Rfam family "Bacterial small subunit ribosomal RNA", at positions 28 to 507 of the family's 1533-position model. The record is from RNAcentral.